CAGGCUUAACACAUGCAAGUCGAGGGGUAGCAUGGUCUUAGCUUGCUAAGGCCGAUGGCGACCGGCGCACGGGUGAGUAACACGUAUCCAACCUGCCGUCUACUCUUGGACAGCCUUCUGAAAGGAAGAUUAAUACAAGAUGGCAUCAUGAGUCCGCAUGUUCACAUGAUUAAAGGUAUUCCGGUAGACGAUGGGGAUGCGUUCCAUUAGAUAGUAGGCGGGGUAACGGCCCACCUAGUCUUCGAUGGAUAGGGGUUCUGAGAGGAAGGUCCCCCACAUUGGAACUGAGACACGGUCCAAACUCCUACGGGAGGCAGCAGUGAGGAAUAUUGGUCAAUGGGCGAGAGCCUGAACCAGCCAAGUAGCGUGAAGGAUGACUGCCCUAUGGGUUGUAAACUUCUUUUAUAAAGGAAUAAAGUCGGGUAUGGAUACCCGUUUGCAUGUACUUUAUGAAUAAGGAUCGGCUAACUCCGUGCCAGCAGCCGCGGUAAUACGGAGGAUCCGAGCGUUAUCCGGAUUUAUUGGGUUUAAAGGGAGCGUAGAUGGAUGUUUAAGUCAGUUGUGAAAGUUUGCGGCUCAACCGUAAAAUUGCAGUUGAUACUGGAUAUCUUGAGUGCAGUUGAGGCAGGCGGAAUUCGUGGUGUAGCGGUGAAAUGCUUAGAUAUCACGAAGAACUCCGAUUGCGAAGGCAGCCUGCUAAGCUGCAACUGACAUUGAGGCUCGAAAGUGUGGGUAUCAAACAGGAUUAGAUACCCUGGUAGUCCACACGGUAAACGAUGAAUACUCGCUGUUUGCGAUAUACUGCAAGCGGCCAAGCGAAAGCGUUAAGUAUUCCACCUGGGGAGUACGCCGGCAACGGUGAAACUCAAAGGAAUUGACGGGGGCCCGCACAAGCGGAGGAACAUGUGGUUUAAUUCGAUGAUACGCGAGGAACCUUACCCGGGCUUAAAUUGCAGAUGAAUUACGGUGAAAGCCGUAAGCCGCAAGGCAUCUGUGAAGGUGCUGCAUGGUUGUCGUCAGCUCGUGCCGUGAGGUGUCGGCUUAAGUGCCAUAACGAGCGCAACCCUUGUUGUCAGUUACUAACAGGUUCCGCUGAGGACUCUGACAAGACUGCCAUCGUAAGAUGUGAGGAAGGUGGGGAUGACGUCAAAUCAGCACGGCCCUUACGUCCGGGGCUACACACGUGUUACAAUGGGGGGUACAGAGGGCCGCUACCACGCGAGUGGACGCCAAUCCCCAAAACCUCUCUCAGUUCGGACUGGAGUCUGCAACCCGACUCCACGAAGCUGGAUUCGCUAGUAAUCGCGCAUCAGCCACGGCGCGGUGAAUACGUUCCCGGGCCUUGUACACACCGCCCGUCAAGCCAUGGGAGCCGGGGGUACCUGAAGUGCGUAACCGCGAGGAGCGCCCUAGGGUAAAACUGGUGAC
Molecule: ribosomal RNA, 1428 nt
Filed under: uncultured organism
Description: 16S ribosomal RNA
Rfam family: Bacterial small subunit ribosomal RNA
Source: RNAcentral